This 535-nucleotide long non-coding RNA is filed under the name Olea europaea subsp. europaea. The record is from RNAcentral. Lineage: Eukaryota; Viridiplantae; Streptophyta; Magnoliopsida; Lamiales; Oleaceae.
UCGACAAACCGGCGGCGGUUUUUCGACAGACGAGAUGGGUUUCUGAAAAAGAGUAUGUUUUACCACCGUUCCCCAUUAUAAGACAUGGUCUGUCUGGAUAUUGUGCAAGAUCCUCAAAACAAUAAGUGUGGAGAGGAAGAUGAUUUGAAAUGGGGAUUUGGGGCAAUUUUGAAAUGAAAACGUGGGUUUCUUCAGAAGAUUGGGUCUGUGGUUUUUGGGGUGAACCUAAAGAAGAAAGCUCUGAAUUUUGGGUUUCAACAGAAGCUACCGAUAACAUGUUUCUUGAUCAAACUCAAAAAGUUUUGGGUUUUGGAAUGUAGAGUAGGUAGGUAUCGAUUCUGAAUUUUCAAAUUUAGCGAAGAUUAAUCGGUGGAGUUUCAAGAGGGUGACACUAAAAGAAGAAUAUAAGAAAAACAGGUAGUACUUGAAAGAAGUGCAAGUGAGAUAAAUACGAGGACAAAUGGGGGUUAGGUAGGAGAAUGAGUGUGUAUGCGGAGGAGAAUGGUAGUGGGGUAGAUCCUGAGGUGGAAUGAAC